This 254-nucleotide ribosomal RNA is filed under the name uncultured bacterium. RNAcentral's name for it is "partial small subunit ribosomal RNA". It matches the Rfam family "Bacterial small subunit ribosomal RNA", at positions 26 to 285 of the family's 1533-position model. The record is from RNAcentral.
AGGACGAACGCUGGCGGCGUGCUUAACACAUGCAAGUCGAGCGGAAAGGCCCUUCGGGUACUCGAGCGGCGAACGGGUGAGUAACACGUGAGUAAUCUGCCCUUGACUCUGGGAUAGCUCCGGGAAAACCGGGAUUAAUACCGGAUAUGACUGCCUUAGACAUCUUUGAUGGUGGAAAGUUUUUCGGUCAGGGAUGAGCUCGCGGCCUAUCAGUCUUGUUGGUGGGUAAUGGCCUACCAAGGCGACGACGGGUA